AUAAUUGGGUAAAAAUUUGUUUACCAACUUUUGGUGAAUAUUGAUCACUUUGUUGGUACAAUUUGAAAAUAUUUAACCAACUCAUAUGCGUUGAGUUGGUCAACGCUUAAACUACCAUUAGUAGGGUAACUGUAUCUAUUUAUUGGGUAACUAGUUUAAGCCCAACUGAGAUGGUUGAUGCCACCCUAGAUGUUGGGACUUUGGGGAAAAUUGACACCAUCUCUUGGUGAAAAUAUUUUGCCGUUAUUUAUUGACCAACAGAUGGUCUACUGUUCUCCAUCCUAUUGGGUGAAAUGCCUAUAGGUUUAAAUUACCCAACCGAGAUGGUUGAUGCCACCCUACUUGUUGGGACUGUGGAACAAAUCUAUACCAUCUCUUGGUGAAAAUAAUUGGCCGUUAUUUAUUGACCAACGGAUGAUCUGUUGUUCUCCAUCCUAUUGGGUGAACUGUAGACUUAGGCCUACCCAACAACCGAGAUGGUUAAUGCAUCCUUACUUGUUUGGGAGUGUGGAACAAACUUACACCAUCUGUUGGUGAAAAUGGCCGUUAUUUAUUGACCAACGGAUCUCCAUUCUAUUGGGUGAACUGUCUGUUGGUUCAUAUAACCCAACCGAAAUGGCCUCCCAAGUUGUUGGGAUAGACUUACAACAUUAUUAUGUGAGACUAAAAUCUAUAAGUAAUAUAAUAAUAAUCAAAGCACUUAUUAUUAGCGUUCUUAUGCAAAGGUAUCGCAACGCUUUACAUUAAUGUAUUAUAAUGAUUGUGGUAAUUACAUUUUAUAGUGCGGCCACGAUAACUUGGAUGUGUUCCAAAAAAUAAGUAAAUAUCUUCUCUACGAGAUGGGAAAAUCUCGAAUUUUUGCACUUUUUAAGUGUUUUUUUUUAACCAUCAGAUUGGGAGACUGCAGUGGAAAAUUCCAAUGCCAUCACACAGCGUGCCAAACAAAGCGCGCGACGCGCUUUGCCGCCGACUAGCUGGUGUUAAAAAUAAAAGCAAAGCCGUACGUAUAUUAUGUACUUGUGUAGCACUAGUAGAAUGGAGGCGGUCAUGGUGGACAAGUCAGUUGGUGAGUUACUAGAAUCAUGGGGAGUAGGACAUCUGUUGAAUGUUUUUGAAGAGAAUCAGAUAGACAAAGCAGCUUUGGAGUUGCUUGACGAGGCAUCAAUACAAGAACUGAUACCAAAGAUUGGCACCCGACUCAAAUUUCUAAGAGGUUGGAGAUCGGAAUUGAGAAGAAUAAUUUAGCACUUCUAGUUCUGCCGGUACUACUUGGAGGAAGGGCUAAAGGCAAGUCUGGUGGACGGUGUGCUUUAGCACAGAGCUUGACAUCUUUCAUCCACCUCAAACCGGCUACAACCAACAUCGAGCAGUAUCUGGGGAACAUCAGUGAGAAGGACAAACCACAGCCCUACAUACUUGGCCUCUUUACUGGGAACAAGUUGCUGCCAAGCCAGACAUUUGUGGUAAUUGAAAGGCGUGCAGUGGAGUCUUCUUCAUUGCUUGAUGCAGUAGACAUUGCUUUUAAGGCGCAUUAUGGGCUAAAUCUCAGUU
This is a long non-coding RNA of Asterias rubens (European starfish), 1551 nucleotides long. RefSeq lists it as uncharacterized. The transcript is spliced from 4 exons. NCBI's taxonomy places the organism in Eukaryota, Metazoa, Echinodermata, Asteroidea, Forcipulatida, Asteriidae. The record is from RefSeq and is a predicted model, not a curated record.